UAGAAGGUGACGUUCUCGCGACCUUUCGCAACGUUCCCUAAAAGUUCUCUAAAGAGGAUGAAAAGACCUGAACCUUUAGAGAACAUUAGGUACAUUCCUAAAACGUCCUUUGUUGGUUAUAAAAGUCUUGCAGUUCAAGGUUCCUCAUGUGACUUUAGGGGGACGCCCGAGACAUUUAAAGAACAUUCCCACAUGGUACUAUUUUGGUCAAAUAAAAACGUUCCCGAUAUGACUGUAGGAAGACGUUCCAUAUUGGUUAUCCUGUGGUCACAUAAGAACGUUACAGAGAGGACACCUGAGACAUUAACAGAACAUUCCCACAUGGUACUAUUUUGGUUAUAUCAUAACGUUCCUGAUAUGACUGUAGGAAGACGUUCCAUAUUGGUUAUCCUGUGGUCACAUAAGAACGUUACAGAGAGGACACCUGAGACAUUAACAGAACAUUCCCACAUGGUACUAUUUUGGUUAUAUCAUAACGUUCCUGAUAUGACUGUAGGAAGACGUUCCAUAUUGGUUAUCCUGUGGUCACAUAAGAACGUUACAGAAAGGACAUUUGGAACAUUAACAGAACAUUCCCACAUGGUACUAUUUUGGUCAGAUAAAAACGUUCCCUGAUAUGACUGUAGGAAGACGUUCCAUAUUGGUUAUCCUGUGGUCACAUAAGAACGUUACAGAGAGGACAUUUGGAACAUUAACAGAACAUUCCCACAUGGUACUAUUUUGGUCAGAUAAAAACGUUCCCGAAAUGACUGUAGGAAGACGUUCCAUAUUGGUUAUCCUGUGGUCACAUAAGAACGUUACAGAGAGGACAUUUGGAACAUUAACAGAACAUUCCCACAUGGUACUAUUUUGGUCAUAUCAUAACAUUCCUGAUAUGACUGUAGGAAGACGUUCCAUAUUGGUUAUCCUGUGGUCACAUAAGAACGUUACAGAGAGGACACCUGAGACAUUAACAGAACAUUCCCACAUGGUACUAUUUUGGUUAUAUCAUAACGUUCCUGAUAUGACUGUAGGAAGACGUUCCAUAUUGGUUAUCCUGUGGUCACAUAAGAACGUUACAGAUAGGACACCUGAGACAUUAACAGAACAUUCCCACAUUGUAUUACUUUGGUCAUAUCAUAACGUUCCUGAUAUGACUGUAGGAUGACGUUCCAUAUUGGUUAUCCUGUGGUCACAUAAGAACGUUACAGAAAGGACUUUUGGAACAUUUACAGAACCAUCUUACAUGGUCCUCUGUUGGUCAUAUAAUAAUGUUCCUGAUAUGACUUUAGAUGGACGUCCCAUAUUGGUUAUUAUGUGGUCACAUGGCAACGUUACAAAGAGGACAUUUGGAACAUUAAUAGAAUGUUCUCACAUGGUCCUCUGUUGGUCAUUUAAUAUUGUUCCUGAUAUCACUAGGAGGACAAAAUAUGAAAUUACGGUUAGAGCAUUUUAUUUUUAUAGGCAGUUAAUACAAAGGAUGUGUCAAUGUGCAGUGGACCAUACAAACAAAGUAAUAAAUAAAUGAUUUCAGAAUGAAGGAAUAUAAAUGAGUGAUUCAGUCUGCACUAUCGUACAUCAGACAAAGACAAAUAGUAAUUAAAUAACACUUUACAUUAAAUUGUGUUAACAAUCACAAAAAAAACUAGUAAAUAAUACUAUACUUAUAUGUAUUAUGUUGUACUCUCUGAAUAUGAUGAUGUAGACUGCAAUGCACCUUGGAAACAGUAGUCAGUUAACAGCAACAGCGUUCAAUACGCUCUAUGAAAAGAACUACCUUUCCCAUAAUGCUACAGCUUACAAGAGGACCCGGAAGUCACAUGAAAUUCAAACUGCCACACUUGACGACGCGUGAUCUUUGUUUUGUCUUUAUAUAAUACUGUAAGAAGUCAUGUACCACACAUUGUCAAACCUGAAGAAGUGUAUCUUCCUGCAAUCUGGGCUCCAGACCUGGAGAUUGAAGUUCCUAAAAGUUGAUGUUUAUCAAGCUUGUGACCUUAUUGCAUGGUGUUAUUUUUUACAUUUAUAUAUCUAAUACACAUUUGCACAUCUGUAAACAUAAAUUUAAUAUUUUGUAGGUUAUUUUUUUAUUUUAUUUAACCAGUUGUUGUAUAUUGAAAUCUGUUAUUACAUUUUAUGCACUCCAACUGUAAAUGUUUUGUUUUAAUUGCAUCUUUAUUGUUUUAAACUAUUUAAUUAA
Misgurnus anguillicaudatus (oriental weatherfish) is the source of this 2179-nucleotide non-coding RNA. The record is from RefSeq and is a predicted model, not a curated record. Lineage: Eukaryota; Metazoa; Chordata; Actinopteri; Cypriniformes; Cobitidae.